GGUCAGAACGAACGCUGGCGGCGCGUUUAAGCAUGCAAGUCGGACGGCAAGUCGGGUAGCAAUACCUGGCCUAGAGUGGCGAACGGGUGAGUAACACGUAGGCGAUCUGCCUCUGGAUGGGGGAUAGCCCGUGGAAACACGGGGUAAUACCGCAUGAGGCCUUGUGGGUGAAGCCAUGAGGUGAAAGGUGCAAUUGCACCGUCUGGGGAUGAGCCUGCGGUCCAUUAGGUAGUUGGUGAGGUAACGGCCCACCAAGCCGACGAUGGAUAGCCGGCCUGAGAGGGUGUACGGCCACACUGGAACUGAGACACGGUCCAGACUCCUACGGGAGGCAGCAGCUAAGAAUCUUCCGCAAUGGGGGAAACCCUGACGGAGCGACGCCGCGUGGAUGAUGAAGGCCGUAAGGUUGUAAAAUCCUUUUGUUGGCGAAGAAUAAGGCGGGGAGUGGAAAGCCCCGCUGAUGACGUUAGCCGACGAAUAAGCCCCGGCCAAUUACGUGCCAGCCGCCGC
Molecule: ribosomal RNA, 510 nt
Filed under: uncultured bacterium
Lineage: Bacteria
Description: bacterial SSU rRNA
Rfam family: Bacterial small subunit ribosomal RNA
Source: RNAcentral